UGCAGUCUGAGUGCAGCGGUGUUUACAACUAAUUGAUCACAACCAGUUACAGAUUCCUUUGUUCCUUCUCCACUCCUACUGCUUCACUUGUCUAGCCUAAA
RNAcentral lists this Y RNA (101 nucleotides) under Propithecus coquereli (Coquerel's sifaka). Its description in RNAcentral is "Y RNA (ENSPCOG00000011618.1)". It matches the Rfam family "Y RNA". Rfam says of the family: Y RNAs are components of the Ro ribonucleoprotein particle (Ro RNP), in association with Ro60 and La proteins. The Y RNAs and Ro60 and La proteins are well conserved, but the function of the Ro RNP is not known. Lineage: Eukaryota; Metazoa; Chordata; Mammalia; Primates; Indriidae. The record is from Rfam by way of RNAcentral.